CCUACGGGAGGCAGCAGUGAGGAAUAUUGGUCAAUGGCCGGAAGGCUGAACCAGCCAUGCCGCGUGAAGGUCAGUGCCCUAUGGGCGUUAAACUUCUUUUGUGCGGGAGCAAUAAUGGUCACGUGUGGCCAGACGAGAGUACCGUACGAAUAAGCAUCGGCUAACUCCGUGCCAGCAGCCGCGGUAAUACGGGGGAUGCAAGCGUUAUCCGGAGUUAUUGGGUUUAAAGGGUGCGUAGGCUGUGAGGUAAGUCAGCGGUGAAAUGCCCCCGCUCAACGGGGUGAAGUGCCAUUGAUACUGCCUUGCUGGAAUGCGGAUGCCGUGGGAGGAAUGUGUGGUGUAGCGGUGAAAUGCAUAGAUAUCACACAGAACACCGAUUGCGAAGGCAGCUCACGAAUCCGCGAUUGACGCUGAUGCACGAAAGCGUGGGUAUCAAACAGGAUUAGAUACCCCAGUAGUC
Molecule: ribosomal RNA, 460 nt
Filed under: uncultured bacterium
Lineage: Bacteria
Description: partial 16S ribosomal RNA
Rfam family: Bacterial small subunit ribosomal RNA
Source: RNAcentral